This 504-nucleotide ribosomal RNA is filed under the name uncultured bacterium. RNAcentral describes it as "partial 16S ribosomal RNA". It matches the Rfam family "Bacterial small subunit ribosomal RNA", at positions 28 to 523 of the family's 1533-position model. The record is from RNAcentral.
GAUGAACGCUAGCGGCAGGCUUAAUACAUGCAAGUCGAGGGGCAGCAGCUUUAUAGCAAUAUAGAGGCUGGCGACCGGCAAACGGGUGCGGAACACGUACACAACCUUCCUUUAAGAAGGGGAUAGCCCAUAGAAAUGUGGAUUAAUACCCCGUAACAUAUCGGUGUGGCAUCACACUGUCAUUAUAGUUUCGACGCUUGAAGAUGGGUGUGCGGCUGAUUAGGUAGUUGGCGGGGUAAAGGCCCACCAAGCCUUCGAUCAGUAGCUGAUGUGAGAGCAUGAUCAGCCACACGGGCACUGAGACACGGGCCCGACUCCUACGGGAGGCAGCAGUAAGGAAUAUUGGUCAAUGGACGCAAGUCUGAACCAGCCAUGCCGCGUGAAGGAUGAAGGUCCUCUGGAUUGUAAACUUCUUUUAUAGGGGGCGAAAAAAGGGAAUUCUUUCUCACUUGACAGUACCCUAUGAAUAAGCACCGGCUAACUCCGUGCCAGCAGCCGCAGUAA